Arachis ipaensis is the source of this 731-nucleotide non-coding RNA. The record is from RefSeq and is a predicted model, not a curated record. Lineage: Eukaryota; Viridiplantae; Streptophyta; Magnoliopsida; Fabales; Fabaceae.
UUAAUAGUUAAAAACUUAAACCAGUCCUUGAAAGAUUAAGCAUGUCUCAAUUUAGUCUUCAAUAGACCAAAUAUAUCAAAUCGUUGUUUUCGGGAAAAUACAUUUACAAAUCAGAUUGAGGAUUGUAAAAAGCUCUGUGGCUAAUUUGGUUUAUUGAUGUUGUGAUACAUCAUGCAUUUGGUUCAUUUCUGUAAAUUUUUGGUUUAGGGAAGCAAGCAAACUAGAAUGGAUCCAUAUUAGUUUAUUGAUGUUCACUGCCAAUUUGUACAGGUAUAAAAUUAUUGGUUCGUAUACUGGUGUUAACAUUUGUAGUUGGACCAAGUCACAGCUUUGAGGAUGGUGUGGUUGCUACAAGCAUUCAUUCUAUGGUAAAAUGCAAGACAUGGCUUUUAAUAUUUGUCUUUUUGCUGCUGUUGCCGCUGCCACCUCUCUUGGUUUGCUUCUGCUGCGGUAUUGCUGUUGCUGUUAGGGCACAAAUUUAGUUUCUGGGUGCUAGGGCAGUGCUAAAAAUAAUGGAGCUCAUAAUGGAUGAACACACUACUUAUGAAAUUUGAUAUUUUGUAACCAAGGAUAAGGAAAUAGAUAUGUGACACUUUGAAUUGUAAUUUUUAUUUUCUUUUUAUGACUUUGAUUUUUGGUACUUUGUGAUCAAAGUCUACUUUUGUGGUGACAAGCUUAUAUAUAAGGCCUUUUUUUUAUGGGGAAGUUUAUAUAUAUGUUUGAUUGGUUGA